This 476-nucleotide ribosomal RNA is filed under the name Candidatus Scalindua wagneri. RNAcentral's name for it is "bacterial SSU rRNA". It matches the Rfam family "Bacterial small subunit ribosomal RNA", at positions 365 to 832 of the family's 1533-position model. Lineage: Bacteria; Pseudomonadati; Planctomycetota; Candidatus Brocadiia; Candidatus Brocadiales; Candidatus Scalinduaceae. The record is from RNAcentral.
UUCGCAAUGCCCGAAAGGGUGACGAAGCGACGCCGCGUGAGCGAAGAAGGCCUUAGGGUUGUAAAGCUCUGUCGAGGGUUAUGAAACGUAGAUGAGUUAAUACCUCAUUUAUUUGACAAAGGCCCCAAAGGAAGUCACGGCUAACUCUGUGCCAGCAGCCGCGGUAAUACAGAGGUGGCAAGCGUUGUUCGGUAUUAUUGGGCGUAAAGAGCACGUAGGUGGUUUUGUAAGUCAGGUGUGAAAGCCUUCUGUUCAAAGGAAGAACGGCAUCUGAAACUACAGAUCUUGAGUAUAGGAGGGGAGAGUGGAACUUCUGGUGGAGCGGUGAAAUGCGUAGAUAUCAGAAGGAACGUCGGCGGCGAAAACGACUCUCUGGCCUAUUACUGACACUGAGGUGCGAAAGUUAGGGGAGCAAACGGGAUUAGAUACCCCGGUAGUCCUAACCGUAAACGAUGGGCACUAAGUAGAGGGGUUUU